GAUGAACGCUGGCGGCGUGCCUAAUACAUGCAAGUCGAGCGAACGGACGAGAAGCUUGCUUCUCUGAUGUUAGCGGCGGACGGGUGAGUAACACGUGGAUAACCUACCUAUAAGACUGGGAUAACUUCGGGAAACCGGAGCUAAUACCGGAUGAUAUUUUGAACCGCAUGGUUCAAAAGUGAAAGACGGUCUUGCUGUCACUUAUAGAUGGAUCCGCGCUGCAUUAGCUAGUUGGUAGGGUAACGGCUUACCAAGGCAACGAUGCAUAGCCGACCUGAGAGGGUGAUCGGCCACACUGGAACUGAGACACGGUCCAGACUCCUACGGGAGGCAGCAGUAGGGAAUCUUCCGCAAUGGGCGAAAGCCUGACGGAGCAACGCCGCGUGAGUGAUGAAGGUCUUCGGAUCGUAAAACUCUGUUAUUAGGGAAGAACAUAUGUGUAAGUAACUGUGCACAUCUUGACGGUACCUAAUCAGAAAGCCACGGCUAACUACGUGCCAGCAGCCGCGGUAAUACGUAGGUGGCAAGCGUUAUCCGGAAUUAUUGGGCGUAAAGCGCGCGUAGGCGGUUUUUUAAGUCUGAUGUGAAAGCCCACGGCUCAACCGUGGAGGGUCAUUGGAAACUGGAAAACUUGAGUGCAGAAGAGGAAAGUGGAAUUCCAUGUGUAGCGGUGAAAUGCGCAGAGAUAUGGAGGAACACCAGUGGCGAAGGCGACUUUCUGGUCUGUAACUGACGCUGAUGUGCGAAAGCGUGGGGAUCAAACAGGAUUAGAUACCCUGGUAGUCCACGCCGUAAACGAUGAGUGCUAAGUGUUAGGGGGUUUCCGCCCCUUAGUGCUGCAGCUAACGCAUUAAGCACUCCGCCUGGGGAGUACGACCGCAAGGUUGAAACUCAAAGGAAUUGACGGGGACCCGCACAAGCGGUGGAGCAUGUGGUUUAAUUCGAAGCAACGCGAAGAACCUUACCAAAUCUUGACAUCCUUUGACAACUCUAGAGAUAGAGCCUUCCCCUUCGGGGGACAAAGUGACAGGUGGUGCAUGGUUGUCGUCAGCUCGUGUCGUGAGAUGUUGGGUUAAGUCCCGCAACGAGCGCAACCCUUAAGCUUAGUUGCCAUCAUUAAGUUGGGCACUCUAAGUUGACUGCCGGUGACAAACCGGAGGAAGGUGGGGAUGACGUCAAAUCAUCAUGCCCCUUAUGAUUUGGGCUACACACGUGCUACAAUGGACAAUACAAAGGGCAGCGAAACCGCGAGGUCAAGCAAAUCCCAUAAAGUUGUUCUCAGUUCGGAUUGUAGUCUGCAACUCGACUACAUGAAGCUGGAAUCGCUAGUAAUCGUAGAUCAGCAUGCUACGGUGAAUACGUUCCCGGGUCU
This 1372-nucleotide ribosomal RNA is filed under the name uncultured bacterium. Its description in RNAcentral is "bacterial SSU rRNA". It matches the Rfam family "Bacterial small subunit ribosomal RNA", at positions 28 to 1381 of the family's 1533-position model. The record is from RNAcentral.